UACGUAGGUGGCAAGCGUUGUCCGGAAUUAUUGGGCGUAAAGCGCGUGUAGGCGGCCCGAUAAGUCCGCUGUGAAAGUCCAGGGCUCAACCCUGGGAUGCCGGUGGAUACUGUCGGGCUCGAGUCCGGAAGAGGCGAGUGGAAUUCCUGGUGUAGCGGUGAAAUGCGCAGAUAUCAGGAGGAACACCAAUGGCGAAGGCAGCUCGCUGGGACGUGACUGACGCUGAGACGCGAAAGCGUGGGGAGCAAACAGG
This 253-nucleotide ribosomal RNA is filed under the name uncultured bacterium. RNAcentral's name for it is "partial 16S ribosomal RNA". It matches the Rfam family "Bacterial small subunit ribosomal RNA", at positions 524 to 776 of the family's 1533-position model. The record is from RNAcentral.